CUAAUAGACAACUAUGGAGAAAAAUAAUUGCAAUAAAUGGACACAGAGAGACGUGUAAGGUUCAAUCUAAUGGCUAAGUUCAUACUUCACUUUUUUUCAGAUCUAUAAACAUAUUAAUAUAUAAACACUUAAAAAUGAUUGUUCAUUUUUAUUUUGUGUUUUGAAAUGAGUGGCAGCUUUGGCAUGUGGGUUGAAGAUGGUGUUUUUAGGGUGUAGCAGCUGCAAGAUCUUGUCAGAAAUUUAAAACAUGUAUGAUGAUAUGAUCAUGUGAUGAUAAGAAAGGCAAGGAAAAGACUGAAGUAAUCGAGAGAGAAGUGCUGAGAAAAUGACUCACUUUCUCAAGCACUAAAAUGGAUACGAAACUUCCCAAGGAUUCUCCUCCUUAUAUAGAAUCAAAGCUCCCUCAGGUAAUUAUUAGAAUUAUCACCACUCAAAUCACAAUCACGUGUGUUUUACUUUGAACACUGAUAAAACAUUUAUCAGAGAAAAAUUAUACUUUCACAUGUUUCUCUUAUUUUUGUUUUAUAACUAUUUUUAAUAAUAAAAUAUUAUAUUUACUUAAUAAAAGUAAAUAUAAACAAAAUUUUGAAAUAAUAAUAAUAAUAAUAUAUUUGAUAAUAUAAAAUAUGUGUGAAAAUAUCAUCUUUUUGACACCCAAUCAAUUAUAAUAAUACAAUAAUAUUUUUCAUUAAAAAUAAAAUAAAUAUAAUUAAAAUAAUAAUUAAUUAAGUCGUGAAGUUUAUGUACUUUAUGUGUAUAGUGUUGUGUUUGGUGUUAGGACCUUGAUACUUUGAUACUCCAAAAACACAUUCUUAACAUACAAAUAAAAUAAUAUUUUAAUAAUUUUUAUUUUUAUUUUUAAUUUAAAAUUAUUAUAAUAUUAUUAUAAAGGAUUGUUGAAUAGUGUUAUUUACUGUGUGGAAUGUCGACAAAAACAUUUCAUUGGUGUUAAAGUAUCACUUAUCAAAUCAAAUGUAGUACUAUAAUACAAAGUGGUUAUAUGUCAACAUUACAAACAGUUGAUAAAUUAAUAAAAUAAUAUUUAAUAUAUUUUUAAAUUUUAAAUAUUAUUAUAUUAUCCUUUUUUUGUCAUAAAAGGAAAAUAUUUUUUGACACUUAAAUUUUAUUUUAACACCCAAUCAAUUAUAAUAAUAUAAUAAUAUUUUUAAUUAAAAUAAAAUUAAUAUAAUUAAAAUAAUAAUUUAUUAGAAUGUGAAGUGUAUGUAUUUUAUAUGUAUACUGUUAUGUAUGGUGUUAAAGUAUCAUUAUUUGUUGUGGAUAGCAAUUUUUUUACUCUAGUAUAUAAUCAUAUUUUUUUCUAAAAUUUUAAUUUUUAUAUGAAAUGAUAAAAGUUUUUUUUUAUAUCAUUAAAUUGAAGAUUAUAUAGAAUAACAGGUUGUCAAUAUAUAAUUAUAUAUUGUUCUUUCUUGAAUCAAAUGCAGCACUAAUCUGUUAGACUUGUUGCACAUUGAUACAUUGAUUAAACACUGCGCUUUCUUGUACCUUCUCUCAGGCUAUUACACAUAUCUUAUUGGAAAAUAUUUUCAAAAAGUUAUUACAAUCCAAUUUAAUAAUAUAACAAUAUAUAUUAAAAAAUUAAAUCAAAAAAUAUUAUUAUUUGAAUUUAUCAAAAUGACCUUUUUAUUUUAUUUGGUAAUACUUUAUUUGGAUUAGAAAAAAAAUAAGAAAGAAAAGUUGUUUGAAUUAAGAUAUAAAAAGUCCAUAAGAAAAGUUUAUUGAAGUUAUAAAAAAUUAGAAAUACAGUAAAUUUUAAUAUAUUAAAAAAAAUUAUCCAUAAUAUAUUUAGAUAUAAAAAGUAAUAUUAUUUUAUAUUUACAUUUUUAUUAAAUUAUAAUAUUAUUAUAUAAAUUAAUAUUUUUAUUAUAAAUAACUAUAUUAUUAUUAAUUAUUUUAAUUAUAUUAAUAAUAUUUUGAAAUAUUUAAUGAUAUAAAUUUAUUUAAUAUUUAAUAUUAUUUUAUUUAUAUGAUAUUAUAUAUUUGAUAUUUUUUUUAUACCGUUGUACAAAUGUAAUGAAAGAAAAUCACUUAUCUUUCUUAUUGUUUUUUGGUAAUAUAGGAGGAAACAUUUUCAUCAAUCUCUUCAAUACAAAUCAAUUAAAUCAAAUAAAAUAAUAUUUACUAUUUUGCAUGCGUAUCUUCCUAAAAACAAGCAUUACUUAAAUGUGAAAAUAUCACCACACUAUUUUAUAUGUUUCUCUCUCAUUUUCAUUAAACUUAUGGAAAAAAUCUCUUUCACCCUCACCCUCUAUAUUUUAUUUACAUCACUUAACUUAUGCAAAAUCUCUUUGACACUUUAUAUUUUUAUCUAGAUUCAUUUAAGAAAUGCUUUUUAAUAAUAAAAUAUUAUAUUAAAAUAAUAAAAAUAAAAUAUUACAUUAAAAUAAUAAAAAUAAAAUAUUAUAUUAAAAUAAUAAAAAUAAAUAUUAUAAUAAAAUAAUAAUUUAUAUAAUUGUAAUGCGACAAAAGUGACGGUGAAACUAUCGUCACCAUAAUAAUCUGAUUUUCUUACCGUGAUCCGUGCAUGUAAGAAAAUGUUAUUUUAUUAAGUACUUUAUACAAUCAUUUUUAUGUUUUACUGAGGUUUGGUAAAAAGUGGAUGUUACUAAAGUUCACUUCAUUUUUAUUAUUAUUAAUUAUAAUUAUUAUAUAUGUUAUUAACGUAGGAGGAUUCAAAACCAAGUUGUUCUCAUUUAUAUCAUUUAACUAUAUCAUUUAUAUAAAUUCUUUAUUAAUAUUUACCUAUAUCUAUAUUCAUAAAGGACUAAGUUUAACAUAAUCUAUUAUUUCUUUAGCAUAAAUAAUUAUGUUGUUAGUAUUUUUUAUAAUAAAAUAAUAAAUAAAAUUAAUUAAUUCAUUUAAAAUAUUACUAAAAAAAUACUAAAAUAAAAAAAAUUAAAAAAAAAACUUAUAUGUUAAUGUCCCUACAUAUGUCAGACGUGAAUUAGAUAAAAACUUAACAAAAACAAUAGUAACUUUUCGCAUAAAAAGUUAUGUGGUCCUGUUCACGCUGAAUUUAUGUCAGACCUGGUACUGGAAUCUUAUCCUUAUUUUUUCUCAUGGGUUGCAGAUUUGUGGUGAGAAUGGGACUACAGGGAUUUGUGGUGAGAAUGGGACUACUGGGAUUUCUGGUGAGAGACACUGUUCCAAAUAAAUGCUUAAAAAUAUAAAAUAGUUAGUUAUAGAUAAUUUUUUAGUUUUUCAUACAUAAAAUUAUCUCAUAUUUAGUGUAUACAUUUAGUUUUUC
RNAcentral lists this long non-coding RNA (3265 nucleotides) under Phaseolus vulgaris (common bean). RNAcentral's name for it is "long non-coding RNA (PVUL_LNC002101)". The record is from RNAcentral. Lineage: Eukaryota; Viridiplantae; Streptophyta; Magnoliopsida; Fabales; Fabaceae.